Molecule: RNA transcript, 2080 nt
Organism: Oncorhynchus mykiss (rainbow trout)
Lineage: Eukaryota; Metazoa; Chordata; Actinopteri; Salmoniformes; Salmonidae
Source: RefSeq, a predicted model, not a curated record
GCUACAAGUCACAGCGAGCAAUGCCAAUGUGCUGCACGCCAAACGGUAGUGCAUUGCCACACACACACACACACACACACACUAGCCAGCCACUGCGCUGUAUCAUAUCAUCACUAAUGGCACUGACCGAAUCUUCUACCGGACCGAAGUUUUAACUUGUAGGCUAAAUGUCCGUGCCAAGUUACGAUUCCAACGAAUCGUUGGAGUAGCCUACAGAAAACGUCAUCAUGGUUGUCAAAAAGUUAUAAGAUAAAGGGUUCACACGCAGCGUUCCUGAUGCACAGCAGACAACGUUGCCUCUGUCUGAAAACACGGGACCGUGUGAAUUCCAGUAACAUAGUCCAAUCCACCGUUCAUCCGAGGAGUGCAAUGUGUGACCAUGUGGAGAUAGUGGUGCAGUUGAAAAUACCAUCAAAAUAUAUCUGCCUGAAUCCAGACUCUAAAAUGGGCAAGAGAAUACAGACUAAGUGGAACCUGAAGAACUGAGCCAAACAUGAUAACACAAACUAUGUGAUGAUGAUAUAACUGACUGUACUGACCAAAAAGUACAUGUAACUAUGUUGUCUUUCUCUGCAGUUUCAGGUAACUUUACUUCUUCCACUGACAAUGCAAUUAGAAAGUGUAUUUCAGAGCUACAGGGUAAUGCACAAAGCUCGUAACAACAUUCUAGAAAAUCUCUGCUAUGACAAGCCUGUAACAACAUUCUAGAACAUCUCUGCUAUGACAAGGCUGUAACAACAUUCUAGAACAUCUCUGCUAUGACAAGCCUGUAACAACAUUCUAGAACAUCUCUGCUAUGACAAGCCUGUAACAACAUUCUAGAACAUCUCUGCUAUGACAAGCCUGUAACAUAAUUCUAGAACAUCUCUGCUAUGACAAGCCUGUAACAUAAUUCUAGAACAUCUCUGCUAUGACAAGCCUGUAACAACAUCCUAGAACAUCUCUGCUAUGACAAGCCUGUAACAUCAUUCUAGAACAUUUCUGCUAUGACAAGCCUGUAACAACAUUCUAGAACAUCUCUGCUAUGACAAGCCUGUAACAUCAUUCUAGAGCAUCUCUGCUAUGACAAGCCUGUAACAACAUUCUAGAACAUCUCUGCUAUGACAAGCCUGUAACAACAUUCUAGAACAUCUCUGCUAUGACAAGCCUUUAACAUCAUUCUAGAACAUCUCUGCUAUGACAAGCCUGUAACAACAUUCUAGAACAUCUCUGCUAUGACAAGCCUGUAACAACAUUCUAGAACAUCUCUGCUAUGACAAGCCUGUAACAUCAUUCUAGAGCAUCUCUGCUAUGACAAGCCUGUAACAACAUUCUAGAACAUCUCUGCUAUGACAAGCCUGUAACAACAUUCUAGAACAUCUCUGCUAUGACAAGCCUGUAACAACAUUCUAGAACAUCUCUGCUAUGACAAGCCUGUAACAACAUUCUAGAACAUCUCUGCUAUGACAAGCCUGUAACAACAUUCUAGAACAUCUCUGCUAUGACAAGCCUGUAACAACAUUCUAGAACAUCUCUGCUAUGACAAGCCUGUAACAUCAUUCUAGAACAUCUCUGCUAUGACAAGCCUGUAACAACAUUCUAGAACAUCUCUGCUAUGACAAGCCUGUAACAACAUUCUAGAACAUCUCUGCUAUGACAAGCCUGUAACAACAUUCUAGAACAUGUAAUGGGAAUUGAAAUGUUUGUGCUUUUCUUAUAACUAAUGUCUGUGUUCAUGCAAGUGACUGACUGAACCAAUUCUCACUAUCAGUAUCUGCAAUUUGGCAGUACACCCAGACCUUGUUUUGAGAACGAAAGAUAUCUCAGUUUCAAGGUCUCAGCGCAGAGAGAAGAAGCCUUGUGAGGUAUUGGUCUGUCACAUGUUAAGAACCAGCAUCUGUCAUUCACAUGAAUGAAACAAAACGGUAAUGAUUCAUUAAGUAUGCUAAAUCAUGCACAUAUUAUUUGUCUGUGUAUAGCUGUAUAUAAGAAAACUGCUGGGACUGCCCCAGGAGAGCUCCUGAUUGACAUGUGUACUAUGGUGCAUUGAUUUGGUUCGAACUUCUCCAGCUUGCUGUCAAUAAACAAUGAUUAAUAUUAA